Molecule: ribosomal RNA, 382 nt
Filed under: uncultured eukaryote
Lineage: Eukaryota
Description: partial 18S ribosomal RNA
Rfam family: Eukaryotic small subunit ribosomal RNA
Source: RNAcentral
UGUAAGCGUAUACCAAAGUUGUUGCAGUUAAAACGCUCGUAGUCGGACUUUGGCAGUUCCGGAUGUGUGCACGUCGUGUGCGCACUUCGCGGGGAUUGCUUUUGUGGUCUUGCGUAGGAUGAGGCACUUUUAUUAGUGAACGUCCUCACGCAACCACUUUUUACUGUGAGAAAAUCAGAGUGCUCAAAGCAGUCAUUUGCCGUGAAUGUAUUAGCAUGGAAUAAUAGAAUAGGACUUGGUUCUAUUUUGUUGGUUUGUUGGGACUGAGUAAUGAUUAAGAGGGACAGUUGGGGGCAUUUGUAUUUCGGUGCUAGAGGUGAAAUUCUUAGAUUACCGAAAGACAAACUGCUGCGAAAGCGUCUGCCAAGGAUGUUUUCAUUGA